Molecule: long non-coding RNA, 781 nt
Organism: Gadus chalcogrammus (walleye pollock)
Lineage: Eukaryota; Metazoa; Chordata; Actinopteri; Gadiformes; Gadidae
Exons: 3
Source: RefSeq, a predicted model, not a curated record
GGAGGAGGAGGAAGAGCGACUCUGGGGACGGGAAGGCGGCGGGGAAAGCGAGCAAGGCGGCCGAUCAGAAGGCAGACGGGACCGAGGGCGGGACACCUGCUGUGAAGAGCAAGAAGGACUCUGCUGGAGGCCUGAAGACGAGUCAGGAGGGCAAGAGAAAAAAUAAGCAGGUGGCUGAGGUGCGCAUCGCAGCAGAGCUCCAAGGGCUGCUCGACGCCAUAGCAACAGAACCCCCCGUUCUGUCUGAGCCCAAACCCAAGAGCAAAAAGAAAAAGGCCAAAGAUAAAGCAGCCAUCAUCGUUUAGGACCUGAAGCGAACGAAGUGCCUCCCACCUCCUACAAAGUUUAAAAGAAAACAAGCCAUGAAGUACAUGAAGACUUUUUUUUAUGGACGGGUCAAGACAUCUGGAAAUCAUGGGCAGCGUGAAAUACUGUAACAAGAAUACAUUGUAUUUUUCUACUCUUUUUAUUACCUUUUUUAUGUUUCUGUUUUUUGUGUUUUUGUACGUAUGAACCUUACAUGUGCCUGGCUAAGUUUUAUAUUAUAUUGUGGAUUGUGAUUAAACCUUCAUUGUAUGUUUUGUAGGUGUGUAUGCGCCACAAGAUGAGUUAUAAACAUGUUGUUGAUGUAAUGCCCCUACAUAGAAACCCUCAUCAAGUGGUCGAGAUGAUCAAUAGUUGGUGAUUGGGUAGAAAAAAAAUCAUAUAUGCCAUGUUAUGUUUCAUCUGUAAAAAGAUAACAUUUAUCAGGGCCAAUGCUGGCCCGACACGCUCUGUGUAC